This 254-nucleotide ribosomal RNA is filed under the name uncultured bacterium. RNAcentral's name for it is "partial 16S ribosomal RNA". It matches the Rfam family "Bacterial small subunit ribosomal RNA", at positions 524 to 776 of the family's 1533-position model. The record is from RNAcentral.
UACAGAGGUCUCAAGCGUUGUUCGGAUUCAUUGGGCGUAAAGGGUGCGUAGGCGGCGCGGUAAGUCGGGUGUGAAAUCUCGGGGCUUAACUCCGAAACUGCAUUCGAUACUGCCGUGCUUGAGGACUGGAGGAGGAGACUGGAAUUUACGGUGUAGCGGUGAAAUGCGUAGAUAUCGUAAGGAAGACCAGUGGCGAAGGCGGGUCUCUGGACAGUUCCUGACGCUGAGGCACGAAGGCCAGGGGAGCAAACGGG